Molecule: long non-coding RNA, 2580 nt
Filed under: Triticum aestivum (bread wheat)
Lineage: Eukaryota; Viridiplantae; Streptophyta; Magnoliopsida; Poales; Poaceae
Description: long non-coding RNA (TAES_LNC016733)
Source: RNAcentral
GAUGGCUUAAUUAUUGGUAGUGUUGUUUGCAGAUAUGGAGUGUGUGUGCAUUUGAGAUGUCAAGAAGCAUUUGAAGCAGGAAGGGAGGUAUAAAAUUGAUUCUCAAGUUACCCUUUUUGGUGUUUGCUUUGUCUGGUUUUUUCUCGGUGAGUUACAUACAAUUUUCAUUCUUUUGUUUUCAUUGAUGUCCCAAAUUGUUAAAAACUUAUUACUUGAGUUGAUAUUUUGCAUGACCUCUGUAUUCUAUCUGAUGGAGCUGGAGUUUGCUUACACAGUGUUGUUGUUAUUAAUAUCUAAUAUACUAAAGCUAUGUAGUGGUUGUUUUCCAUGGCAGUGAACGAUAUAUGUGGCAGUAGUCAAUAUUUAUAUAUGAUGCAUAGAUGAUUAUAGGGCAACCUGGUGCAUGUAGCUCCCGCUUGCGCAGGGUCCAGGGAAGGGUCCGACCACUUUGGGUCUAUAGUACGCAGCCUUUCCCUACAUUUCUGUAAGAGGCUGUUUCCAGGACUUGAACCCAUGACCUCAUGAUUAUACUUUAGUAAAAUACAUCAUGAUCAGAAAUUAAUUUAAACAUAAAAUUUGGCCCUGAAUUUUUCUUCUCAUCUAAUGGGGCAUGUAUUUUGAAAGCAAGAAUGCUGUUCUGCUCUAAUAUUUCUUAGAUAGUGGGAGAAAGUCAUGCACAAAUUCAAGGCCAGCAAGGAACAACCUACUGAACGUGGAUGACCACCACUUCUCCGUCCAGGCAACCACCCUAUCCAUGGAGGAUUGACACCCUGUAGUCACGCCAUCUCAGUCCAGACUGCGUCAUGCUCACCUUCAAGAUUGUCGAGGUAAUUGAGAAAAAUUUAGUAGUAUUCAGUCAGUUGAUAGAUUAAAGAGUUCCCCAUAUUCUUUUGAAAAGUUUGCUACACUACUUUGAAAGAUGGUGACGACAUCAGUACAUAAGCAUUCUAGAAGAGAUUGGUAAUCCGGAGCUGCUAAAAGUUCAACUUUCCACAUGCAAGUUCACGGUCACCGCCCCUUGGUCACUGCUAAAAUUUCAACUUAACACAUGCAAGUUCACGGGCACCGCCCCUUGGUCAAUUGGUGGUCUUAUAGCUCAGACAUUUUCCUGUGCAGAGCUAGAUUUUUUAUGUUGCUUGACUCAUGAUGCAUUUAUUACUUUGCACUAGGUAUUGGCUGCUUUGUUGUAGUUACAAGUGUGCAAACUGAAUAUUGCAAGUGAAGCUCAUAAUCAUUAUUGAUAGAUGUUUGACUACUUAGAUUUAAGUUACAAUCAGAGAUGUUGACCUGUGGAUAUUCCUUGAUGCAUUUAAAUAUGUUGUUUGUGGAGACUCCAUAGUGAUUUGCCAAUGUGCGCUGUCAUAACAAAAGCUCCAUCUGUCAUUUAAAUAUGUUGUCUGGUUAUAGUUCUUUGUGCACUUGCUUUACCUCCUCCCAGUCUCCAUGUCCUUUGUUCUUUGUGCUUGCUUCUGUACGAUGUUCCUCUUCAAUUAGGGACGAUGAUGGUAUAACAUUUGUCUCAUUCUGCAAAUUACAUUCACCCUAGAAGUUUUCACUUCAUUUUUUUUGUAGCAUUUGUGGACAACUAACUGAUGGCUACUGUGUUCUGAAUCUUUGGGUUUGUGUAUUUAUCAUAAGUUUGCACCUUACAUUGUACUAUUCUGGCAUGUCCACUUGAUUAAGUGAAACUGUGUCUAUUUCGCAGACAAGAAAAUCCUAUGGGCAUUUUUUUGCCUGACCUCUUUUUGCGCAUCUUGUUUCUGGUGGCUACCUCUUACUGUUGGAUAGAUUAACAUUUUGUUUUGGGUCACUUUAUCUUGAUAGUCUGAUUAAAUUCGGAUGUGUAUGGUAGUUAUAGGAAGGUGACCAAAUGCAUUAUUUGAAUUUAUUCCUUGAGAGCAGGAUUGGUGUUAUGGUUUCAAAAACAUAGAAAGAGUUGGGUUGUUGUUGCUUACUACGAGUAGUUUAGUCAUGUAAUUCAGAAACAUAGAAAGACUAGAGAGUUUGACCGUUGAUCAUAGCACAAUUACGAUGCCUUAAAAACGCCUUGGUGUAUGAUAGAAAAUUUAUUAGGGUUAGCUUUGCCUUAUCAUUUUAGAUAUUUCUGCUGUGCCAAAAUAUCCAUACACAAUUUCUUCACAGAAGUACUUGUGUAAUGUUGAUUUGCAAAGUUACAGGUUCAGUUGUUUUCUUGUUUAGGAGGGGGAAAAACAGAAGUUCCCAUGCACGAACUUGGAUGGAUAAUUGGAAGGUCCAGAUAAGGGGGGCACACUACGCGGAGCUCAACUACAACUUGUCUAUUAUUUUGCAUGGUGGUGAAUAGUGCAGUGAUGUAUUUGUGCACAUACCAUUGAGCUUAGGGCACAUCAGAACAUUUUGACACUUAGCUGCCGUGUUAGAACUCAUGGCUCUUUGACAAGGAUGUUCCUUAUACUAAAGAAUCUGAUGAAAUGUUCCUUUCAUUUUUCUUUGGCACUUAGGUAAAUUGCGUGUGCCAGAUCCACUCACUCAAAGGCCACCAGAUCCACUCACUCACAUGUGCCAGGUCCGGAAAGCAUUAGAUGCCGUGGGAGCCAGCCU